RNAcentral lists this microRNA precursor (86 nucleotides) under Nomascus leucogenys (northern white-cheeked gibbon). RNAcentral describes it as "miRNA (ENSNLEG00000032399.1)". Lineage: Eukaryota; Metazoa; Chordata; Mammalia; Primates; Hylobatidae. The record is from RNAcentral.
GGAGGAUCGCUUGAGGAUGCCUGGGAGAUGGAGGUUGCAGUGAGCUGAGAUCACACCACUGCACUCCAGCCUGGGCCACAGAGCAG